Molecule: non-coding RNA, 1356 nt
Organism: Punica granatum (pomegranate)
Lineage: Eukaryota; Viridiplantae; Streptophyta; Magnoliopsida; Myrtales; Lythraceae
Source: RefSeq, a predicted model, not a curated record
UAUUACGCAUUCACUUGAAUGUGUAAUACUUAAUUAAGAUAUUUGAAAGUAGAAAACUGAUCCCACAAAUAGACUCAUAGAUUCUCACUUACAAACAUUUUGAUUUGCUCUUAUUUAAGUGGAUGAAUAAUACUUAUUGAAUAAUUAGUCCUAUGUGGGGAUACAUCAUACCGGUCAAGUGGCUAUGGUCUUAAUACCACAUGAUGGACUGGGGCACCAUCCAUCCAUUAUUGCUGUGUCUCAAUUAUUAUCGGACCGACUUCCAAUUACUAGUCGGCCAUCUCCUAAGAUCUCAAACCAUUGGAUCAAUAGUUGAUAGACCGUAUCAACCCUUAUGAUGUUGACAGUUCAAUGGUUCCUAAGGUUUAAGAGUGACGGUUUGGUUAAUAGGCUACCAAAUUUUCGACGCUAUAAGGCGAAGUUAAAUAAAAAUUUAAAGAGCAUAAAUAUAUGAAAACGGACAAGUUGGCAACUAUGGCUAGUUGUGCUACUCCUACCUUACCUUGCCCAUAUUCCAUUUAAUUCUUGUUUGGUUCAUUGGGACUAAUUUUUUGCUCCUUAUUAAUGUCCUUAUCCCGAUCAAUUCUCUUUAGCUAACCACAAAUGAAAAUAACAAAUAAAUAACCAUAUCUAGACUAAUUAGCACAGUAGGAUCACUUCUAUUUGAUCACAGAUAUAUAUAUAUAUAUAUAUAUGCAGCGAGAAACUUAUACUUCGACAGUCAAACCAUUAUGAUUAUUCAUCGCCGUAGUUCACGUGAUAUGAGAUAUCUUCCUUCACAUAAAGCGCAGGGCCUUUGAUUGGGAGGACCGUGCCUGACCUGGUGUGGUGUUGGCUCGCUGCAGAUUGGGCGAGAUGGCGACCCAUUGGAUGGUGAAGGAUGAGCAGAGGCCGCAUUUGACCAAGAUGUUGCUUAACGUGACUAUAAGUGGCAGCACUGGUGCCGAACACGCGGUCAGGAGGCCGGAAGUGACAGUCGGGGAUCUCAUAUCAACUGCAGCGAGUGCAAGGUGGUGUGGGACAAGGUGGUGUGGGACAAGGUGGAGGAGGUCAGCCAAGCCAAGGCUGAUCUCCACCUCAAGCUCGAGGUCCAGAAGCCAGACCUGCUAGAGUCCUUUUGCCAUGACAACCCCAAGACCGAGGAGUGCUUGGUCUACAAGGACUCAUCAACCGGUACACAGCCAGCCACUACUGUAUUGUUAUCAUCAGUAGAGACUCACUGCUUUCUGUAAUCAGUCUCGGAUCCACAGCGGCUAUCGUCAUCAUCAGUAGAGACGCUGCUUUCUGUAAUCAAUCCCAAUCUGUAUAUGGGAUAACCUUAAAUAAAUCUGCAAUCGAUGCUCGCUUUGUGUUUAA